This 301-nucleotide ribosomal RNA is filed under the name uncultured bacterium. RNAcentral's name for it is "partial 16S ribosomal RNA". It matches the Rfam family "Bacterial small subunit ribosomal RNA", at positions 509 to 808 of the family's 1533-position model. The record is from RNAcentral.
CAGCAGCCGCGGGAAUACGUAGGUCCCGAGCGUUGUCCGGAUUUAUUGGGCGUAAAGCGAGCGCAGGCGGUUAGAUAAGUCUGAAGUUAAAGGCUGUGGCUUAACCAUAGUACGCUUUGGAAACUGUUUAACUUGAGUGCAAGAGGGGAGAGUGGAAUUCCAUGUGUAGCGGUGAAAUGCGUAGAUAUAUGGAGGAACACCGGUGGCGAAAGCGGCUCUCUGGCUUGUAACUGACGCUGAGGCUCGAAAGCGUGGGGCGCAAACAGGAUUAGAUACCCCAGUAGUCCCUGUCUCUUAUACC